UGUAGUGUCAACGAUGAUGCAUACAUGUCAACUAUGGGUGUUGGCUCUAAUAAUUCGCAUUGGUCUCAAACCAAUGACAUGCAUUUCAAAGAUCAUGAGUUCGAGGUGGACGAGGAUGGGGAGGGCAUUGUCAAUGCACCAAAAGGAAGAGGAGGCAACUACACCAACGAUGAAGAUGUUGUGCUAUGAAAAACUUGGUUGGACGUGUCGAGGGAUCCAUCCAUUGGAGCUGAUCAAAGUAGAGAUGCUUAUUAG
RNAcentral lists this ribosomal RNA (255 nucleotides) under Triticum aestivum (bread wheat). RNAcentral's name for it is "partial small subunit ribosomal RNA". The record is from RNAcentral. Lineage: Eukaryota; Viridiplantae; Streptophyta; Magnoliopsida; Poales; Poaceae.